This 550-nucleotide ribosomal RNA is filed under the name uncultured bacterium. RNAcentral's name for it is "bacterial SSU rRNA". It matches the Rfam family "Bacterial small subunit ribosomal RNA", at positions 355 to 896 of the family's 1533-position model. The record is from RNAcentral.
UAGGGAAUCUUCCGCAAUGGGCGAAAGCCUGACGGAGCAACGCCGCGUGAGUGAUGAAGGUCUUCGGAUCGUAAAACUCUGUUAUCAGGGAAGAACAAAUGUGUAAGUAACUGUGCACAUCUUGACGGUACCUGAUCAGAAAGCCACGGCUAACUACGUGCCAGCAGCCGCGGUAAUACGUAGGUGGCAAGCGUUAUCCGGAAUUAUUGGGCGUAAAGCGCGCGUAGGCGGUUUUUUAAGUCUGAUGUGAAAGCCCACGGCUCAACCGUGGAGGGUCAUUGGAAACUGGAAAACUUGAGUGCAGAAGAGGAAAGUGGAAUUCCAUGUGUAACGGUGAAAUGCGCAGAGAUAUGGAGGAACACCAGUGGCGAAGGCGACUUUCUGGUCUGUAACUGACGCUGAUGUGCGAAAGCGUGGGGAUCAAGCAGGAUUAGAUACCCUGGUAGUCCACGCCGUAAACGAUGAGUGCUAAGUGUUAGGGGGUUUCCGCCCCUUAGUGCUGCAGCUAACGCAUUAAGCACUCCGCCUGGGGAGUACGACCGCAAGGUUG